Microplitis mediator is the source of this 328-nucleotide long non-coding RNA. RefSeq lists it as uncharacterized. Lineage: Eukaryota; Metazoa; Arthropoda; Insecta; Hymenoptera; Braconidae. The transcript is spliced from 3 exons. The record is from RefSeq and is a predicted model, not a curated record.
CUAUUUUCUACUGGGUUAGCUUCCUUUGGUUUAUCUCUGUCUCACUUCCUCAGCAUUAUUACCCAUCAGUUGUACCGUAGCGUCAGUUUGUACAGUCGGAAGUAAAAAAUGGCGGAAAUAAAAUUAUUUUACGAGAGGAAAUUCUUUCUACGGUGACUGUACUUACUAUAGUUUCAGUCGGGGACCUGAUAUAUUUUAUGUGGGUAGAUUUGAAAAAUAGGAGGGAAAUUUGAGGAGAGAUUUUGGGUGAGUUUUUUUUAGUUUUUGUUCUUGGGUUUUGGUAAUUUGGGGCUGGGAGGAAAGCAGGGUAAAAACGCGGGAAAAUUUG